Molecule: ribosomal RNA, 505 nt
Filed under: uncultured bacterium
Lineage: Bacteria
Description: partial 16S ribosomal RNA
Rfam family: Bacterial small subunit ribosomal RNA
Source: RNAcentral
GACGAACGCUGGCGGCGUGCCUAAUACAUGCAAGUAGAACGCACAGUUUAUACCGUAGCUUGCUACACCAUAGACUGUGAGUUGCGAACGGGUGAGUAACGCGUAGGUAACCUGCCUGGUAGCGGGGGAUAACUAUUGGAAACGAUAGCUAAUACCGCAUAAUAUUAAUUAUUGCAUGAUAAUUAAUUGAAAGGUGCAAUUGCACCACUACCAGAUGGACCUGCGUUGUAUUAGCUAGUAGGUGAGGUAACGGCUCACCUAGGCGACGAUACAUAGCCGACCUGAGAGGGUGAUCGGCCACACUGGGACUGAGACACGGCCCAGACUCCUACGGGAGGCAGCAGUAGGGAAUCUUCGGCAAUGGACGAAAGUCUGACCGAGCAACGCCGCGUGGGUGAAGAAGGUUUUCGGAUCGUAAAGCUCUGUUGUAAGAGAAGAACGGGUGUGAGAGUGGAAAGUUCACACUGUGACGGUAUCUUACCAGAAAGAGACGGCUAACUACGUG